AUUGAACGCUGGCGGCAGGCCUAACACAUGCAAGUCGAACGAGUGGCGGACGGGUGAGUAAUGUCUGGGAAACUGCCCGAUGGAGGGGGAUAACUACUGGAAACGGUAGCUAAUACCGCAUACCAUCGGAUGUGCCCAGAUGGGAUUAGCUAGUAGGUGGGGUAACGGCUCACCUAGGCGACGAUCCCUAGCUGGUCUGAGAGGAUGACCGGCCAGACUGGAAUGGAGACACGGUCCAGACUCCUACGGGAGGCAGGAGUUGGGAAGAUUGCACAAUGGGCGCAAGCCUGAUUCAGCCAUGCCGCAUUUAUGAAGAAGGCCUUCGGGUUGUAAGGUACUUUCAGCGAGUAGGCGUUACUCGAAGAAGAAUCACCGGCUAACCCCGAGCCAGCAGCCGCGGUAAUAC
RNAcentral lists this ribosomal RNA (406 nucleotides) under uncultured bacterium. RNAcentral describes it as "partial 16S ribosomal RNA". It matches the Rfam family "Bacterial small subunit ribosomal RNA", at positions 30 to 526 of the family's 1533-position model. The record is from RNAcentral.